UACGUAGGGCGCAAGCGUUGUCCGGAAUUAUUGGGCGUAAAGAGCUCGUAGGCAGUCUGUCGCGUCGGCUGUGAAAACCCGGGGCUCAACCCCGGGCCUGCAGUCGAUACGGGCAGACUAGAGUGUGGUAGGGGAGACUGGAAUUCCUGGUGUAGCGGUGGAAUGCGCAGAUAUCAGGAGGAACACCGGUGGCGAAGGCGGGUCUCUGGGCCAUAACUGACGCUGAGGAGCGAAAGCGUGGGGAGCGAACAGG
RNAcentral lists this ribosomal RNA (253 nucleotides) under uncultured bacterium. RNAcentral's name for it is "partial 16S ribosomal RNA". It matches the Rfam family "Bacterial small subunit ribosomal RNA", at positions 524 to 776 of the family's 1533-position model. The record is from RNAcentral.